GCUGGGCGCGGUGGCUCACGCCUGUAAUCCCUAGCACUUUGGGAGGCCGAGGCAGGUGGAUCACCUGAGGUCAGGAGUUCAAGACCAGCCUGGCCAACAUGGUGAAACCCUGUCUCUA
Molecule: non-coding RNA, 118 nt
Organism: Gorilla gorilla gorilla (western lowland gorilla)
Lineage: Eukaryota; Metazoa; Chordata; Mammalia; Primates; Hominidae
Rfam family: Metazoan signal recognition particle RNA
About the family: The signal recognition particle (SRP) is a universally conserved ribonucleoprotein. It is involved in the co-translational targeting of proteins to membranes. The eukaryotic SRP consists of a 300-nucleotide 7S RNA and six proteins: SRPs 72, 68, 54, 19, 14, and 9.
Source: Rfam